Non-coding RNA from Coturnix japonica (Japanese quail), 1911 nucleotides. The record is from RefSeq and is a predicted model, not a curated record. NCBI's taxonomy places the organism in Eukaryota, Metazoa, Chordata, Aves, Galliformes, Phasianidae.
AUUUCCAUGCUUUGAUUGAUUUAAAUGAAAAACAGAAUGUUGUUUUAAUGUUGUGUAUGAAACCAUAAAAUUAUUAAUUUUUUCCAUUCUGACAAAAAUGGCUAAGAUGAUUUUAAUAACAUUUUGGGUAAAAAAACAACAACAAAACCAAACAGCUUUCAGAUCACAGAAUUGCCCAGCAUACAAAAGCCAGCCAUAAUGAUAUUUUUAAAGAAAUGCAUAAAGACACAAAAAUCCUACAGUUUCCACUGGAAGACUCAGCUUCAGCUGCACUGGGAAUACCACUGAAGUAAGCGUCCCCUGGAGAUUCCAUCACAUCAAAGCAAGGGGUAUGUAUACUUUAUUUGCUGUUUCUCCAGACACUGACAGAAGAGUGGGUUACUUAUCUCUCACACCCCAUAAAUACAGCCAGGGUCUUUUAUCUGCUGUUCCAGGACUUUACUGUCACCUCGCUGCCUCACUCACACUGUGGGAAGGAGAGGACCUUGAGAUCCCCUUUGGCCAACAAGAGGAGGACCAAGGCUUCAGCUGGCAAGCAGGGAGUGCAGGCAUCGUACCACACAAGAGUACAGCAGUGAGCUUGGCCAGCAAGCAGAGGAGGGGUUGAAAAGUGCUCCUUUAACUGCAAAAGAAAGGAAACACCUGAACCAUUCACCAGCAGGGGCUCUGGUGAGGACUGGAUUCACAACUGCACUUCUGAGCAAGCAGAGAUGGGAAUGAGGAACAACAGGAGGGCAAAGGAUUCAGAAACAUUCAAGCAACUUUGAAAGACAACACAAAUCCAGUUGCAGGGGAGGAAGAGUCCACGGGACAAUGGGAAACGCCAAGACUUCCCAACCACCUGCCUGAACAGAUAUCUGCACUACCACCCCACAUCUUUCAGAACCCAUUACUCAUGUCUUCUUUAAAACCUUCCCUAGAUUAACCAUUUUCUUUUUAUCUCUCACCAAGUUCCAGUGCCUUCAUUCAGUAUUACCCACCAGAACUGUGAAAUACACACUAAUCCCCCCCACACAAGCAAAAAGACUCAGGAUAUGAAAUGCUACUUCAAGCUACACGUGAGGCUUACAUUUACUUUGUAUUUAAUCACAUAACACUGUGGUUGUAUAUUUCUUUCUGGUUUUUGUUUUGCUCCUACUUCUUUUCCUGCAACUGAAUUCAUUACAGAUUUCAUGGGGCUUCCCUCCCAGAAUUCUAAUACAGCAAAGACUGAAAAGUUGAAACCGUUUUAUACUUUACUAUUUUUAGAAGCAUAUUUUAAUUCUUAUGUGCAUAUUUUUGUAACUACAAGGACGAGGAAGUGGAGGAAAACAUACUUUCUGAUAUAUUUCAGCACAGCAAUAUUCAAAUCUAAUGCAGGGGGUGGAAAGAGAAAGGAGAGAGAAGGGAAUAAACUGUAACUGAAUAAACGAAUGUAAGGGAAAGGAGUAAAAGAAAUGGGAAUCAAAACACCAGGCAGUAAGCAUAGGAGGACAACAUAUAUUUACAAGGCAAAAGGGAAGGAGGAAAAGAUGAUGUAACACAUGGCAGAGAUGAUAGAUUUACAAAGUAUAAAAGUUUAAGAUGGUCACUUUUCAAGAAAGUAAAGGAUGAAUGGAGAAAAAUGUGAACUGGGAAACAGAACUAAAUUAAGACAGAGGUGGCCAGAGUGAAGGCUCACAACUAAGAUUAACAGAUACUUUUGUGCACUUCCAUAGCAGAUGUUCUGUCUCCCUAAAUUUAGACAAGACAAUGGGAUAAGUUCUUAUACUGAAUUGGCAGGGUACUUUAUUUUCAAUUAUGUGGUUUAAUAAUUAAAGUUGCCUUGGCUGGUACUGUAUGUCUGAAAGCUUCUACGACAUUCUGCUACCUUUGCUCUGGGUGCUGUGGUUACUGGAGAUACUGCUUAAGAUAAAACCAUUUUUUUUCUAC